UCGGACGUCAUGAUGAUUACCCAACCAAAUGCAUAGUUCAUCUGAUUCUUCAUGAUGAAAACGCAACCUUCAAGUCUUUCGCUCCCAUCUGACUGGCAUC
RNAcentral lists this small nucleolar RNA (100 nucleotides) under Ophiocordyceps sinensis. Its description in RNAcentral is "Small nucleolar RNA snR60/Z15/Z230/Z193/J17". It matches the Rfam family "Small nucleolar RNA snR60/Z15/Z230/Z193/J17". From Rfam's summary of the family: The members of this family belong to the C/D class of snoRNAs which contain the C (UGAUGA) and D (CUGA) box motifs. The record is from Rfam by way of RNAcentral. RNAcentral also lists the same sequence under 1 other name. Lineage: Eukaryota; Fungi; Ascomycota; Sordariomycetes; Hypocreales; Ophiocordycipitaceae.